GCAAGACUCCAAACUUGCCCGCAGCGACCUAACUGCACCUCCAGUGGCUACCCCCAGAGGGCACGGAAGCAGCAAGAACGGCGGGAACACUUGCCUGGCGUCCAUGCAGCUCUAGGCUGAGUCUUGUAGGGCUAAGGCCCCCAGGCCUGCUCUCCUGUGUCCUAGCCGCUCUGUCAGUGCCUGCCAGUGGGGUCCAGAGGGACCGUCUCUUUAACGCCUCUUUUGCAGUGAGAUGUGCCUACUUCUCCCUGGAGACGCUCGAGGAAGCAGGAAUGCUGGAGAUGAGCUGCUCCUCACUCUCACUCCUGGGUGUGCUGGGCAGUGGGGUGCAAUGCGCACGUAGGUGCACACUGUCCCUGGGCGGCAACGAGCAGCAGAGGUCUGAUCUGUGGUCGGGUGAGGAGAGGAAGUCCAAGUAAAGCAGCUGCAGCGAGGCCUCGUCUGCUCAGGGGCUUGUUCUUCUGUCUCUUUCAGAGGCCUCGUCUGCUCAGGGGCUUGUUCUUCUGUCUCUUUGCAGGGCUGUUUUGGACUCAGUAUUCACCUAAGCACUCCAAAUUACCCAGCACACCCUUCCUGCACGGCGCUGUGCUGCACCUUCACUCUGGUCACGGGUCUGGCAGUCGGCUCACCAAUUCCUUCUGCUUUCCUGGGACUCGCCGGCUUUUAGCACUGCAAUUCACUCAGCAAACUGGGACUGUUGGUCACCCUACCUGGCAGCCAGUGAUAAGGUGAGGGCCACUCCUGGGAGGGAGGACACCUGUGGGGAAAAUUCUUGUGUUAUUUAUUUCUCCUUCGGGAUAGGGUGCCUGCAGCGCUUCAUGGGAGGGGGUGG
RNAcentral lists this non-coding RNA (832 nucleotides) under Pongo abelii (Sumatran orangutan). The record is from RNAcentral. Lineage: Eukaryota; Metazoa; Chordata; Mammalia; Primates; Hominidae.